ACAAGCGGUGGAGCAUGUGGUUUAAUUCGAUGCAACGCGAAGAACCUUACCUGGUCUUGACAUCCACGGAAGUUUUCAGAGAUGAGAAUGUGCCUUCGGGAACCGUGAGACAGGUGCUGCAUGGCUGUCGUCAGCUCGUGUUGUGAAAUGUUGGGUUAAGUCCCGCAACGAGCGCAACCCUUAUCCUUUGUUGCCAGCGGUCCGGCCGGGAACUCAAAGGAGACUGCCAGUGAUAAACUGGAGGAAGGUGGGGAUGACGUCAAGUCAUCAUGGCCCUUACGACCAGGGCUACACACGUGCUACAAUGGCGCAUACAAAGAGAAGCGACCUCGCGAGAGCAAGCGGACCUCAUAAAGUGCGUCGUAGUCCGGAUUGGAGUCUGCAACUCGACUCCAUGAAGUCGGAAUCGCUAGUAAUCGUGGAUCAGAAUGCCACGGUGAAUACGUUCCCGGGCCUUGUACACACCGCCCGUCACACCAUGGGAGUGGGUUGCAAAAGAAGUAGGUAGCUUAACCUUCGGGAGGGCGCUUACCACUUUGUGAUUCAUGACUGGGGUGAAGUCGUAACAAGGUAGCCGUAAAUCUCUGGAAGAUCCGCGCG
Molecule: ribosomal RNA, 600 nt
Filed under: uncultured Bacillus sp.
Lineage: Bacteria; Bacillati; Bacillota; Bacilli; Caryophanales; Bacillaceae
Description: bacterial SSU rRNA
Rfam family: Bacterial small subunit ribosomal RNA
Source: RNAcentral